UAGUCCACGCUGUAAACGAUGAGAACUAAAUAUUGCCGCGAGGCAGUGUUGAAGCUAACGCAUUAAGUUCUCCGCCUGGGGAGUACGGUCGCAAGACUGAAACUUAAAGGAAUUGACGGGGACCCGCACAAGCAGUGGAGCAUGUGGUUUAAUUCGACGCAACGCGAGGAACCUUACCCGGGCUUGAACUGCAGGAGAAGGAUACAGAGAUGUUGACGCCCUUCGGGGCUCCUGUGGAGGUGCUGCAUGGUUGUCGUCAGCUCGUGCCGUGAGGUGUCGGCUUAAGUGCCAUAACGAGCGCAACCCCUCUCUUCAGUUGCCAUCAGUUUGAGCUGGGCACUCUGGAGACACUGCCACCGCAAGGUGUGAGGAAGGUGGGGACGACGUCAAAUCAGCACGGCCCUUACGUCCGGGGCUACACACGUGUUACAAUGGGUGGUACAGAGAGUCAGGGGCUGGCAACAUCCCCUUAAUCAAGAAAGCCAUCCUCAGUUCGGAUUGGGGUCUGCAACCCGACCCCAUGAAGCUGGAUUCGCUAGUAAUCGCGCAUCAGCCAUGGCGCGGUGAAUACGUUCCCGGGCCUUGUACACACCGCCCGUCAAGCCAUGAAAGCCGGGGGCGCCUGAAGUCCGUGACCGCGAGGAUCGGCCUAGGGCGAAACUGGUGAUUGGGGCUA
RNAcentral lists this ribosomal RNA (676 nucleotides) under uncultured bacterium. RNAcentral describes it as "bacterial SSU rRNA". It matches the Rfam family "Bacterial small subunit ribosomal RNA", at positions 791 to 1483 of the family's 1533-position model. The record is from RNAcentral.